Phyllostomus discolor (pale spear-nosed bat) is the source of this 174-nucleotide long non-coding RNA. RefSeq lists it as uncharacterized. The record is from RefSeq and is a predicted model, not a curated record. The transcript is spliced from 2 exons. Lineage: Eukaryota; Metazoa; Chordata; Mammalia; Chiroptera; Phyllostomidae.
UGGCUAGUGUGGCUCAGUAGACUGAGUGCCAGCCUGUGAACCAAAGGGUCACUAGUUCAGUUCCCACUCAGUGUACAUGCCUGGGUUGCAGGCCAGGUCCCCAGUAGGGUGCACACGAGAGGCAACCACACAUUGAUGUUUCUCUCCCUCUCUUUCUUCCCCCUUCCCCUCUCU